AUUGAACGCUGGCGGCAUGCUUUACACAUGCAAGUCGAACGGCAGCGCGGGCUUCGGCCUGGCGGCGAGUGGCGGACGGGCGAGUAAUGCAUCAGAACGUCCCCAGUUGCGGGUGCUAGGGCGGCGACGGCCGGAUUAAUACCGCAUACGACCUGAGGGUGUAAGCGGGGGACCGAAAGGCCUCGGGCCAUUGGAGCGUCCGAUGUCGGAUUAGCUAGUUGGUGGGGUAAAGGCUUACCAAGGCGACGAUCCGUAGCUGGUCUGAGAGGACGACCAGCCACACUGGGACUGAGACACGGCCCAGACUCCUACGGGAGGCAGCAGUGGGGAAUUUUGGACAAUGGGGGCAAGCCUGAUCCAGCCAUGCCGCGUGCGGGAAGAAGGCCUUCGGGUUGUAAAGCGCUUUUGUUCGGGAAGAAAUCCUGUGGGCUAAUACCCCGGGGGGAUGACGGUACCGGAAGAAUAAGCACCGGCUAACUACGUG
Molecule: ribosomal RNA, 484 nt
Filed under: uncultured bacterium
Lineage: Bacteria
Description: partial 16S ribosomal RNA
Rfam family: Bacterial small subunit ribosomal RNA
Source: RNAcentral